This 1364-nucleotide ribosomal RNA is filed under the name unidentified marine bacterioplankton. RNAcentral's name for it is "bacterial SSU rRNA". It matches the Rfam family "Bacterial small subunit ribosomal RNA", at positions 9 to 1371 of the family's 1533-position model. The record is from RNAcentral.
GAGUUUGAUCAUGGCUCAGAUUGAACGCUGGCGGCAUGCCUUACACAUGCAAGUCGAACGGCAGCACGGGUGCUUGCACCUGGUGGCGAGUGGCGAACGGGUGAGUAAUACAUCGGAACAUGUCCUGUAGUGGGGGAUAGCCCGGCGAAAGCCGGAUUAAUACCGCAUACGAUCUACGGAUGAAAGCGGGGGACCUUCGGGCCUCGCGCUAUAGGGUUGGCCGAUGGCUGAUUAGCUAGUUGGUGGGGUAAAGGCCUACCAAGGCGACGAUCAGUAGCUGGUCUGAGAGGACGACCAGCCACACUGGGACUGAGACACGGCCCAGACUCCUACGGGAGGCAGCAGUGGGGAAUUUUGGACAAUGGGCGAAAGCCUGAUCCAGCAAUGCCGCGUGUGUGAAGAAGGCCUUCGGGUUGUAAAGCACUUUUGUCCGGAAAGAAAUCCUUGGCUCUAAUACAGUCGGGGGAUGACGGUACCGGAAGAAUAAGCACCGGCUAACUACGUGCCAGCAGCCGCGGUAAUACGUAGGGUGCGAGCGUUAAUCGGAAUUACUGGGCGUAAAGCGUGCGCAGGCGGUUUGCUAAGACCGAUGUGAAAUCCCCGGGCUCAACCUGGGAACUGCAUUGGUGACUGGCAGGCUAGAGUAUGGCAGAGGGGGGUAGAAUUCCACGUGUAGCAGUGAAAUGCGUAGAGAUGUGGAGGAAUACCGAUGGCGAAGGCAGCCCCCUGGGCCAAUACUGACGCUCAUGCACGAAAGCGUGGGGGAGCAAACAGGAUUAGAUACCCUGGUAGUCCACGCCCUAAACGAUGUCAACUAGUUGUUGGGGAUUCAUUUCCUUAGUAACGUAGCUAACGCGUGAAGUUGACCGCCUGGGGAGUACGGUCGCAAGAUUAAAACUCAAAGGAAUUGACGGGGACCCGCACAAGCGGUGGAUGAUGUGGAUUAAUUCGAUGCAACGCGAAAAACCUUACCUACCCUUGACAUGGUCGGAAUCCCGCUGAGAGGUGGGAGUGCUCGAAAGAGAACCGGCGCACAGGUGCUGCAUGGCUGUCGUCAGCUCGUGUCGUGAGAUGUUGGGUUAAGUCCCGCAACGAGCGCAACCCUUGUCCUUAGUUGCUACGCAAGAGCACUCUAAGGAGACUGCCGGUGACAAACCGGAGGAAGGUGGGGAUGACGUCAAGUCCUCAUGGCCCUUAUGGGUAGGGCUUCACACGUCAUACAAUGGUCGGAACAGAGGGUUGCCAACCCGCGAGGGGGAGCUAAUCCCAGAAAACCGAUCGUAGUCCGGAUUGCACUCUGCAACUCGAGUGCAUGAAGCUGGAAUCGCUAGUAAUCGCGGAUCAGCAUGCCGCGGUGAAUACGU